This 245-nucleotide ribosomal RNA is filed under the name Salmonella enterica. RNAcentral's name for it is "partial 23S ribosomal RNA". It matches the Rfam family "Bacterial large subunit ribosomal RNA", at positions 1273 to 1522 of the family's 2925-position model. Lineage: Bacteria; Pseudomonadati; Pseudomonadota; Gammaproteobacteria; Enterobacterales; Enterobacteriaceae. RNAcentral also lists the same sequence under 1 other name. The record is from RNAcentral.
CUGGAGGUAUCAGAAGUGCGAAUGCUGACAUAAGUAACGAUAAAGCGGGUGAAAAGCCCGCUCGCCGGAAGACCAAGGGUUCCUGUCCAACGUUAAUCGGGGCAGGGUGAGUCGACCCCUAAGGCGAGGCCGAAAGGCGUAGUCGAUGGGAAACGGGUUAAUAUUCCCGUACUUGGUGUUACUGCGAAGGGGGGACGGAGAAGGCUAUGUUGGCCGGGCGACGGUUGUCCCGGUUUAAGCGUGUA